RNAcentral lists this ribosomal RNA (417 nucleotides) under Boophis elenae. RNAcentral describes it as "partial 16S ribosomal RNA". It matches the Rfam family "Bacterial large subunit ribosomal RNA", at positions 2012 to 2597 of the family's 2925-position model. The record is from RNAcentral. Lineage: Eukaryota; Metazoa; Chordata; Amphibia; Anura; Mantellidae.
CCCACUGUCUCCCCCCUCCAAUCAGUGAAACUGAUCUCUCCGUGAAGAAGCGGGGAUACAAAUAUAAGACGAGAAGACCCCAUGGAGCUUUAAACCCAACAGCACCCGUUUAUUUUCAUCCUCACAUAAAUUAGGUUAUGCCUGUUUGGUUUUAGGUUGGGGUGACCACGGAGUAUAAAACAACCUCCAUGAAAAAAGGACCAAAAAUCCUUAUUAGAGAAAGACAUUUCUAAAAUUAAUAAAUUAAUUUUUAAUGAUCCGAUAUUCGAUCAACGAACCAAGUUACCCUGGGGAUAACAGCGCAAUCCACUUCAAGAGCUCCUAUCGACAAGUGGGUUUACGACCUCGAUGUUGGAUCAGGGUAUCCUAGUGGUGCAGCAGCUACUAACGGUUCGUUUGUUCAACGAUUAAAACCCU